CUCCAGAUAACGAGUCACAAAUAGGACGAAAUGCGCAUCCUGGAU
This is a non-coding RNA of Trichobilharzia regenti, 45 nucleotides long. The record is from Rfam. NCBI's taxonomy places the organism in Eukaryota, Metazoa, Platyhelminthes, Trematoda, Strigeidida, Schistosomatidae.